This 274-nucleotide ribosomal RNA is filed under the name uncultured bacterium. RNAcentral describes it as "partial 16S ribosomal RNA". It matches the Rfam family "Bacterial small subunit ribosomal RNA", at positions 523 to 796 of the family's 1533-position model. The record is from RNAcentral.
AUACGGAGGGUGCAAGCGUUGUCCGGAUUCACUGGGUGUAAAGGGUGUGCAGGCGGGGCGGUAAGUCAGAAGUGAAAGCCCACGGCUCAACCGUGGAAUGGCUUUUGAAACUGCCGCUCUUGAGUCUCGGAGAGGUCGCUGGAAUUCGUGGUGUAGCGGUGAAAUGCGUAGAUAUCACGAGGAACACCGGAGGCGUAGGCGGGCGACUGGACGACGACUGACGCUGAGGCACGAAAGCGUGGGGAGCAAACAGGAUUAGAUACCCCAGUAGUCC